GUGAAUCAUCGAAUCUUUGAACGCACAUUGCGCCCUUUGGUAUUCCGAAGGGCAUGCCUGUUCGAGCGUCAUUAUCACCCCUCAAGCUCCGGCUUGGUGUUGGGCCUGGUCUUUCAGUAGACCGGCCUCAAAGAUAGUGACGGCGUCCCAGAUGGAACCGGUACGAGGAGCUUCUAAUCAAGCAUGUACGCGGCGUGAAUCUGCGGGCGGCGGUCUUUAACCACUACUCUUCGGAGUACUUUUUUAAGUUGUUGACCUCGGAUCAGGUAGGGAUACCCGCUGAACUUAAGCAUAUCAAUAAGCGGAGG
RNAcentral lists this ribosomal RNA (308 nucleotides) under uncultured fungus. RNAcentral describes it as "eukaryotic LSU rRNA". The stretch from base 1 to 71 matches the Rfam family "5.8S ribosomal RNA", at positions 84 to 154 of the family's 154-position model. Lineage: Eukaryota; Fungi. The record is from RNAcentral.